UGGGGAAUCUUGGACAAUGGGCGCAAGCCUGAUCCAGCCAUGCCGCGUGAGUGAUGAAGGCCUUCGGGUUGUAAAGCUCUGUGGGGAGAGAAGAAUAAGUGCGGGCUAAUACUCCGCAUGAUGACGGUAUCUCCUUAGCAAGCACCGGCUAACUCUGUGCCAGCAGCCGCGGUAAGACAGAGGGUGCAAACGUUGUUCGGAAUUACUGGGCGUAAAGCGAGUGUAGGCGGUUUGGUAAGUCGGAUGUGAAAGCCCCGGGCUCAACCCGGGAAGUGCACUCGAUACUGCCAAGCUAGAGUAUCGGAGAGGUUGGUGGAAUUCUCGGUGUAGAGGUGAAAUUCGUAGAUAUCGAGAGGAACACCGGUGGCGAAGGCGGCCAACUGGACGAAUACUGACGCUGAGACUCGAAAGCGUGGGGAGCAAACAGGAUUAGAUACCCUGGUAGUCCCUGAGCGGGCUGGCAAGGCGCAU
This 471-nucleotide ribosomal RNA is filed under the name uncultured bacterium. Its description in RNAcentral is "bacterial SSU rRNA". It matches the Rfam family "Bacterial small subunit ribosomal RNA", at positions 355 to 825 of the family's 1533-position model. The record is from RNAcentral.